AUGGCGGCUGACCCGGGGAACGGCGAGCUGUGGCGCCGCUUCGUCAGGUUCGAGCUGGAGGAGGGCAGCGGAAUCGAGGCCGCCCGCGCCGUCUACGAGCGACUUCUCGCUGCAAUUCCCGAUGGAGAGACAUACAUGUGGGACUGGUUCUGGAGGGAGCGCGAGUUCGGCGACGUCGACAGCCAGCGGCGCGCGCUUCAGAGGUGGGCGCGGUGGGCGCAGGCCCAAGGAGGCGGCUUCCUCAGGUCCAAGUCAGGCUGGCGUACUUACUUGAAGUUCGAGAUCGACAACGGCGGCGGGGUGGAGCGCGUCCGGGCCGUCGGCGAGGCGCUCCUCGCGACCUUUCCCAUGGAUCCGCAUGCGUACGUGAUGUACAUCAGGGCUCUGACCGCUCUGUCCCGGCACGUUGAAGCCCAAGCCCUGGCACGCCGUGGCGUCAAGGAGCUGUCCGCCUUCUAUCGCGGGCAUGAUGAGUUCAUUUGGAGGUUUAUGGCUGUGUAUCUGAAGAGGCUCAGGGAGAGGCGGAGCACCGCGUGGGACGAAAAUAUGUUCAACGAUUAG
Molecule: ribosomal RNA, 561 nt
Filed under: Triticum aestivum (bread wheat)
Lineage: Eukaryota; Viridiplantae; Streptophyta; Magnoliopsida; Poales; Poaceae
Description: partial small subunit ribosomal RNA
Source: RNAcentral